GCAACCUCCAAAUUGACUGUUCUGCAUCCAGCGCACUUUCGGAAAUGACCUGGUACAAAAAUGGAAAAAAAGUUCAUCAAGUUGCAGGAACAAAUGGUGUCACUCUUGUGAUAGAAAAUGCAACAGUUGAAGACGCAGGAUUUUAUACAUGCUCUGCUACAAAAUUUGUUGAUGGCUUGGAGCAAAAAGUGAUGGCAAUGGCCAAACUAGAAGUUCUCCGUAAAAAUUAAGACUGGGGAAAAAUGAAAAAUCCACACGAAUGCAGAUGGAAGAAAAACUAAUUUUGGUGAAAAUUAUGAUAAUUUCGAAUGAUCUGUUAUUAUAUUCUUUUAUUCGUUGAAUACCUCAUUGAUCAUACUACAUGUGUGUGUGUUGACAGCUUUUUACUGUAUUAUCUAUCUCCGUAUUUCCAUUGAUAACGUGCCUUUCAGCCUUUCUUGUAGGAGUCGUGCCCAAAGUCUGGUCUACUAAUAUCUAAACAACACCAACUAUUCUGAAGAUUAAAUCGAAAUGUAAUUGGUUGAAGUCAAAUUAUUAUGGAAUAAAUAAAAGAAUGAAAUCAA
This is a non-coding RNA of Styela clava, 563 nucleotides long. The record is from RefSeq and is a predicted model, not a curated record. NCBI's taxonomy places the organism in Eukaryota, Metazoa, Chordata, Ascidiacea, Stolidobranchia, Styelidae.